GGUCCCAUGGUGUAGCGGUUAGCUCUAAGGACUUUGAAUCCUGCGAUUGGAGUUCAGAUCUCCCUGGGACCU
This 72-nucleotide transfer RNA is filed under the name Toxocara canis (dog roundworm). It matches the Rfam family "tRNA". Rfam says of the family: Transfer RNA (tRNA) molecules are approximately 80 nucleotides in length. Their secondary structure includes four short double-helical elements and three loops (D, anti-codon, and T loops). Lineage: Eukaryota; Metazoa; Nematoda; Chromadorea; Rhabditida; Toxocaridae. The record is from Rfam by way of RNAcentral.